GCCCUUGAAAUAAAUCAAAGGUGAAACCUGCCCAGUGAUAAUUAGCUAUAAAUUUUAAUAAAAUUUUAAUUUUAUUAAACGGAUGCGGUAACUCUGACUGUAAUAAAGUAGCAUAAUUAGUUGUCAUUUAAUUGAUGGAGAGAAUGAAUGGUUAUACGAGCAUUUCAUUGUCUUAAUUAAAAAUUUUUAAAAUUAAAGUAAUAGUGAAGAUGCUAUUUAAAAUCGUAAGACGAAAAGACCCUAUAGAGCUUUACUAUAAUUUUAUGAUGAUAUUAAAUAAAAUUUUUAUUAUUAUUAAUAAGAUUGGUAGUUUAGUUGGGGCGACUGUCUUUUAUAUUAAACAAAGAUAAGCAAUUAUUAAUAGUAUUAAUUUAUUGUAUAAUUUAUAAAUUUAACAAUUAUUAAAAUAGGCUAUAAUGACCCGUUAAAUUAAUUAAUAAUAUUUAACGAUUAAUAAAUAAAAGCUACCUUAGGGAUAACAGGAUAAUUUUGUUUUAGAGUUCUUAUC
Molecule: ribosomal RNA, 508 nt
Filed under: Hybocodon chilensis
Lineage: Eukaryota; Metazoa; Cnidaria; Hydrozoa; Anthoathecata; Tubulariidae
Description: partial 16S ribosomal RNA
Rfam family: Bacterial large subunit ribosomal RNA
Source: RNAcentral